Molecule: ribosomal RNA, 360 nt
Filed under: uncultured eukaryote
Lineage: Eukaryota
Description: bacterial SSU rRNA
Rfam family: Eukaryotic small subunit ribosomal RNA
Source: RNAcentral
AUAGCGUAUAUUAAAGUUGUUGCAGUUAAAAAGCUCGUAGUUGGAUUUCUGUUUUGAGCGUCCGGUCGGCUCCCUCUGGGAGUGUGUACUUUUGCGACGUUCGAGGCAUUUUUUGUGAGGACGCUUUUCUGCCAUUAAGUUGGUGGUUUGGUGGACUUGCAUCGUUUACUGUGAAAAAAUUAGAGUGUUUAAAGCAGGCGUUUGCUCAUUGAAUACAUUAGCAUGGAAUAAUAAGAUACGACCUUGGUGGUCUAUUUUGUUGGUUUGCACACCAGGGUAAUGAUUAAUAGGGAUAGUUGGGGGCAUUAGUAUUCAGUUGCUAGAGGUGAAAUUCUUGGAUUUACUGAAGACUAACUACUG